AUUAUAUAGAUGAUCCUGAAACAUGCAGAAUCAAAGAAGCAGAAAAUCUUGAUUCCAUGGAAAUAUGUGACAACACUGAACAAGUUUCCCAGAUGAGUACACCACGUACUUAAAGAGUUAAAAAUCAAGGAAUAAUUGUUUCGCCAUAUCUAUCAGAAAAUACGUCACGGAAACAAUCGUUGAGAACUGUGUUGAUGUAUAUGAGAAAAGAAUUUCAGAAAAAAAUUAAAAUGUUACAACAAAAGCAACGACGAACCAUUAAGUGUGUUGCAAAAUUGAAAGAUGUAUUGACAUGUUUGAAAAAAAACAAAUCUUAAUGCAGAACAGCUGGAUGUCUUUAACAGAUUUAGACUUAUUUCUCUCAUCCGAUAACGGACAGAAAAGUUAUUGUAUUUCUCGACCCAUGCCAUUGUGUGAAACUGUUACGUAAUUGUAUUGGAGAACAUAAAUCAAUAAUUGAUGACAAUGGUGAUAUGAUCCAAUGGGAACAUUUUACGAAGCUUAAUGAUAUUCAAGUUAAGGAAAGUCUACACUUGGGUAAUAAAUUAAGAACGCGUCAUAUACAAUACCAUAAACAAAAAAUGAAGUAAAACUCGCAGUGUAAAUCUUCAAUAACUCUGUAGCUGAUGCAUUAGAAAUUUGUAAAAAUGAUUUACGAUAUCCAGAAUUUGCAAAUUCGGUCCCAACGAUGAGAUUCAUUCGAAUAAUAAAUGAUCUUUUUGAUAUCUUAAAUUCGAGGAACAUGAAACAGAUAGGGUUCAAACAACCGUUAAAUAAAAACAAUAGUUCUAUAAUUUUGGAAAAAUUAAAAGAAGGCUAUAAUUUCCUAUCACAAUUGCGAAAGACAGAUGGUCAAUUGUUGAUUUAUUCUAAAAAUAAAUGUGCAUUCCUCGGUUUUAUGAUAUGUAUCAAAAGUAUAACAAUACUUUAUAAAGAUUUAGUUGUUAGUCAAGACGUAUUAAAAUAUAUACCAGGUUAUAAAUUUAACCAAGAUCACGUUGAAUUGUUAUUCAGCUCUAUACGAGCUCAUGGAGGUCCUAACAAUAACCCGACGGCUCGGCAAUUUAAAGCCGCUUAUAAAAACAAAUUUUUGUCCAUACAGAGA
This 1105-nucleotide unclassified non-coding RNA is filed under the name Harpegnathos saltator (Jerdon's jumping ant). RNAcentral describes it as "uncharacterized LOC112589173, transcript variant X1". The record is from RNAcentral. Lineage: Eukaryota; Metazoa; Arthropoda; Insecta; Hymenoptera; Formicidae.